Mauremys mutica (yellowpond turtle) is the source of this 431-nucleotide long non-coding RNA. RefSeq lists it as uncharacterized. NCBI's taxonomy places the organism in Eukaryota, Metazoa, Chordata, Testudines, Geoemydidae. The record is from RefSeq and is a predicted model, not a curated record. The transcript has 3 exons.
UUCUGAUGUGGGUCUCUCUCAGUCUCUCCUGGUGAAGCUAUUCAACUUUGGUAAAAAAUUAAAUAGUCAUUGGAGUAGGGAGAUUGGACCCUGGGUCUCCCACCUCCCAGCUGGAUGCCCUAGCUACUACUAACUGUGGGAGUACUCCUAAAGACAAACUACUGAGCACUUUCAAGCGUUGGCAUCCCUCCACUCUUGGGUUAGCUCCAGAGGUGAAAGUAAGCUGGUAUGGGCCGGUACAGAGGACAGCCAUCUGAUGGGAGCUACAUGAAGGUGCAUUUGGGCAUAUUUUUGCUCCAGCAGAACAUCCUGGCAAGUUCUCUGACUGCAGGAGUGCAGAUGAACACCAGCUGGGCACUUACAUUUUUUGGCAUAAAUCUUUUGUUUUGAAAUGGUUUAAAAUUUUCUAACAAUGCACGUAGUGCAACACU